CAUCAGCGGCGCAUGCCAAAAACAUUUCCCUUGAACUAGGUGGUAGUUUGGAAGGCAAAGUUGCUUUCCACAUUUAUGUUUUCAAAUGAGGAAGCUGGGGCCUUUGAAAAUGGCCCGAGGUGCUAAGCUUGCGUACGCAGCCUAUAAAAUCUGACGAGUGUCAACGGCAAAGUAACUGCAGGCGCAAUUAACGGUAGCCAGCCAGAAAGGAAAAAAUGCUUUGGUAGUAAAUUUGCCAGCAAUAUCGUAAACUCCUUGUCUUUUUUUUCUCCCAAGAAGGACUAAAUAUGCACAAAUGAGCAUUUUCUUUGUCUGUUUUAUGUUUGGCAAGGGGCAGUUAUCGUCAUCACUGUUGUGACUUCGGCGGUGGCUUCCCACAAGACCGCGCCGAGGUAAAAUGCUGCAGGUGUGAGCAUUCUUUGGCGCACCGAGGAGGGAUGCAAGGAGCGGUCCUACGAGGCCUGACAACACCUACACCUCUGAGGCUCAAGUUUUCUUCGGUGGGGAAAAACGUGGCCUUAUCCGCUGACAGGUCCUUGUGCGUCACGUCUCCAGCAGUGAGCAGAGGGGAGCUCCCAGCGCAGCAUAAUUAAGACCUCUGUCGAAGUGACAGGGUCACUCGGAGGACAACAUCAAUUUCGUUCUCUGCCUAAUCUUUAGUACCUCAUGCACACUGGCAAUUAUGAGAUGAGCCUGACUGAAUUAAUGAACAGAAGAGAAGAUAUGAAGUGAUGAUUUAUGAGAUGUUCUCCAAAAGGAAUUAAGAUGAUAUCUAUGUCUUCAGUUCUGGCAAGGUUCACAGGCCAGUUUCAUGGAGAAGAGAGGAAUGGAAGGGAACAUUUUCUUAAUUGGACACGGAGUGCUGCUAACAAUAAGCUAUGCAUGGCGAGAUUUGCCUGGAAGAGCCGCGGCCGGGCUCAGGAUUUGCUCGAAGAGGAGUUAUAAUUGGCCCUAAGAUGAGGAGCUCAAGCCAGCUGUAAGUAUUCAGACUGUGACAGUGGACUCAUAUUCGCUUCUCCUCCGUGAAAAUGAGCUCAAGAUUCACAGCCUCGGGAGACAUAAUACAUGUCACAGCCUACAAUAAUGGUUAAUUUGAAAUCAUGUAGCACCACCCCACGCCCCCCACACCUCUCUGUCGCCAUCUGCCCCUUCUAGUUCACUUCCCCUCUCUCUCCACCAUCCCCGUCGCACUGAAAUAACCCAUUCAUCCUAAAAAUGGUUUUCAUCUUUUCCUGCCUCCACCCCCAGCCCACCCCCGCGCACCAUUAGUCCCAUCCCCUCCGUGCUCUAACCACCAAAUGCAUUUCCUAGAUUUUCUCAGUCGCAACCAUUAUCAUCCUGGAGCUAAUGUUUUAAAUUCAAUUGCGGCAAUCCAUAUCCAGGCCAAAUUACUGUUUCCCGUUUUAAGCGGAGGAUUCCCAACACAAGAAAGCACGUCUGUGGAGCAAAGAUAAAAGCGACUCGCUCGACAUAUAUGCAAGAAUUCCCAAACAGCGCUGCGUUUGUUCAUUACAUAUUCACACAAAACGUCACACAACAAUCAACCUCCUCCACCAGCUUUUGAACACACGAAAGCCAAUGAGCUCCUGAGCAUUCUGAUUCAUGGACAUUUUCCAAAAGUGUACACACACACACACACACACACACACACACACGACCCUCUUUGCUCCCUUUCCAGCUGUAGGAAAACUGCAACUUGGGCUAUU
Hippocampus zosterae (dwarf seahorse) is the source of this 1706-nucleotide long non-coding RNA. RefSeq lists it as uncharacterized. The transcript has 5 exons. The record is from RefSeq and is a predicted model, not a curated record. Lineage: Eukaryota; Metazoa; Chordata; Actinopteri; Syngnathiformes; Syngnathidae.